This 994-nucleotide ribosomal RNA is filed under the name uncultured organism. RNAcentral's name for it is "bacterial SSU rRNA". It matches the Rfam family "Bacterial small subunit ribosomal RNA", at positions 44 to 1055 of the family's 1533-position model. The record is from RNAcentral.
GUGCUUAACACAUGCAAGUCGAGCGGAGAUUGAUUUAUGUAAUCUUAGCGGCGGACGGGUGAGUAACGCGUAGGCAACCUGCCUUGCACAGAGGGAUAACACCGGGAAACUGGUGCUAAUACCACAUGAUAUCAUAACAAGGCAUCUUGAAAUGAUCAAAGGAUAAAUCCGGUGCAAGAUGGGCCUGCGUCCGAUUAGUUAGUUGGUGAGGUAACGGCUCACCAAGGCGACGAUCGGUAGCCGAACUGAGAGGUUGAUCGGCCACAUUGGGACUGAGACACGGCCCAGACUCCUACGGGAGGCAGCAGUGGGGAAUAUUGCGCAAUGGGGGGAACCCUGACGCAGCAACGCCGCGUGAAGGAAGAAGGCCUUCGGGUUGUAAACUUUUUUGAUUGGGGAAGAAAAAAAUGACGGUACCCAAGGAACAAGCCACGGCUAACUACGUGCCAGCAGCCGCGGUAAUACGUAGGUGGCGAGCGUUGUCCGGAAUUACUGGGUGUAAAGGGCGUGUAGGCGGGAUUGUAAGUCAGAUGUGAAAUUCCAGGGCUUAACUCUGGAGGCGCAUCUGAAACUAUAAUUCUUGAGUGCUGGAGAGGAAAGCGGAAUUCCUAGUGUAGCGGUGAAAUGCGUAGAUAUUAGGAAGAACACCAGUGGCGAAGGCGGCUUUCUGGACAGUAACUGACGCUGAGGCGCGAAAGCGUGGGGAGCAAACAGGAUUAGAUACCCUGGUAGUCCACGCUGUAAACGAUGGAUACUAGGUGUAGGAGGUAUCGACCCCUUCUGUGCCGGAGUUAACACAAUAAGUAUCCCACCUAGGGAGUACGGCCGCAAGGCUGAAACUCAAAGGAAUUGACGGGGGCCCGCACAAGCAGUGGAGUAUGUGGUUUAAUUCGAAGCAACGCGAAGGACCUUACCAGGGCUUGACAUCCCUCGGAUAACAUAGAGAUAUGUUAGUCCUUCGGGACGAGGAGACCGGUGGUGCCAUGGUUGUCGU